This 253-nucleotide ribosomal RNA is filed under the name uncultured bacterium. Its description in RNAcentral is "partial 16S ribosomal RNA". It matches the Rfam family "Bacterial small subunit ribosomal RNA", at positions 524 to 776 of the family's 1533-position model. The record is from RNAcentral.
UACGAAGGGGGCGAGCGUUGUUCGGAUUUACUGGGCGUAAAGGGCGCGCAGGCGGCUAUCCAAGUCAGGCGUGAAAGCCCCGGGCUUAACCUGGGAGGUGCGUCUGGGACUGGGUGGCUAGAGUUCGGGAGAGGAGAGUGGAAUUCCCAGUGUAGAGGUGAAAUUCGUAGAUAUCGAGAGGAACACCUGUGGCGAAGGCGGCCAACUGGACGAGUACUGACACUGAGACGCGAAAGCGUGGGGAGCGAACAGG